Dreissena polymorpha is the source of this 1503-nucleotide long non-coding RNA. RefSeq lists it as uncharacterized. The record is from RefSeq and is a predicted model, not a curated record. The transcript is spliced from 2 exons. NCBI's taxonomy places the organism in Eukaryota, Metazoa, Mollusca, Bivalvia, Myida, Dreissenidae.
CUACAAUUAUUUUGUGCUGAAAAUGAACACACAAAAACAAUUGAGAUCAAAAAAUUGUAUUAUGUUUACAGACAUAAACACAGUAUUUUGUACCAUGACAUAAGUGACAAAUGGGAACAUUGUUUUGUUAAAUGCAAAGUAUUACCAUCUCUACCGAGUGCAAAUGUGAAAGAAAACCCAGAUCACAGUGUGUGGCUCUGUCUGUCAAAGGUCACUGGACAGGUUCAUUCAGCGGAAUGUAAUUGCACAGCCGGGAGCGGAGAAGCAUGUAUCCAUAUUGGUGCAUUUAUGUAUGCCCUUUCUGAUCUCACUGCUAAAAAGAAGGACGGCACUCUAAGAUCAACCUCAAAAAAAUGCGUGUGGGACAGAUUUAAUAAUCCCCGGAAAAGAAAGCGAACGCCUAAAAAGUCUAGCGAAUUUACAUUUCGGAAACAUACCUUUGAGUCAAAAUUAGAGCCAGUCGAAAAUAACACCAGAAAAGAACUUCUUGCGAUUUCUGUAAAUGAGAACAGUUUCCGUUCAAAACUCGAAAAUAUGCAACCCAACAGCUGGAUGGCUUUUGAACUUUGUAGAAGAGAAGGAAGAGGUGAAAUUACCAAAGUUUAUAGAAAUUGGAUAUAACUUUAGUGAUAGCGUAGAUCUGAAUAGUGAAACUGUGAAGGAUAAAAUGUCGAAAAUGAUGGAUAUGCUACAAAUGGAUGAACUUGAAUGCCAAAGUAUUGAAAAAUUAACCAGAGGUCAGGGAAAGAACGUACUUUGGGAAGAUGAAAGAAAAUUACGUGUAACUGCAUCCAAUUUUGGUGAAGUAAUUUUACUGAAACAAGAGACUGAAAGAUUUAAAAGAAAUUGAGUGCAAUCUUUAAAGAAUAGUAACAAAUAUGAAUUUAAGAUCACAAUUGUGAAUUUCUCGCAAGCUUACCCUUGCUCCUAGAAUAUGUUUUUAUAAUUUUGAUGUCUCACUUUUCUCUAGAGAUUAACCCUUUACCACUUAGAUAUGUAUUUUCAAGCUUUUGUAGUUCCUUAAAAAGUUAAAUGUAAUAAAGUACCUUUAUUACUAAAUUUAAGUUUUAAAGGCUUCAUUUCCAACCCUUAAAUACUGAUGAGCAGCAAACAGUAUAAAACCUGAACAGACUGCGAGUUACUAGCAUGCUGUUCUGGUUUUAUGCUGUUUUCACUGUGCUUCCAAGUGGAAUAGGGUUAAAUAACAAAAGUUAACGCCAGAUCAGAAAAUAAUUUAAGUAACAACAGUACAGGACAUCAUUGAGGUCCCUCCUUUUUUAUGUUUCAAUAGUCAUUUAGCUCUACAAAGCAUAUAAAUAUUGUACAUAAAAGUGUAUGAAUGUAUAAAUAUUUAUCAACUGUUCAUAUUAUGAAUUUUACAGUAGUACAUGUAGAAUGCUUUUCAACGAUUUGUGUACGGUUCAUUAAUACCAUCACAACGUGAUUGUCAAUUGUUAUUCCGCUAAAUUGAUUUGCUCUUAAAAUGAUAAAUCAUAAAAAGAA